GGAAAAUCAAACCCUGCAGGAAUUGGAAACCCAAUCUUCAUGCAAUUUCUGAAGACCGUCCAAUUUCUGAUCUAAACCAACGGACGGCCAGAUCUGAUCGUAACCAUAAAGUCAAACCUAAAUCUACUACUCAGGUUGUACCGCCACCAAGUCACCUUGACAACUACUGGUAAGUCUCAGUAUGAAUAAAGAGGAGACGUUUAAAUUAAUAAAAAUUUUAAUUGUCGUAUUUUUUUUAUGAUGAUGGCAACAAAUUUUAUGCGUUAAUUUGCAGGAAAUCGAACCAUUCGAUGGCGUUGCCAACAUUCUCCCCGACUCCAUUUAUGAUCUGAGUUUGAUUCGGACUGCACGUUCCUUGUCUUUUUCAUGAACAUUUUAGCGAAG
RNAcentral lists this long non-coding RNA (384 nucleotides) under Olea europaea subsp. europaea. Lineage: Eukaryota; Viridiplantae; Streptophyta; Magnoliopsida; Lamiales; Oleaceae. The record is from RNAcentral.